RNAcentral lists this ribosomal RNA (630 nucleotides) under Triticum aestivum (bread wheat). RNAcentral's name for it is "partial small subunit ribosomal RNA". The record is from RNAcentral. Lineage: Eukaryota; Viridiplantae; Streptophyta; Magnoliopsida; Poales; Poaceae.
AUGGCGGCGGCAGAGGGGGAGGCGAGCCGGCUGUUCCGCGUCCGGCGCACGGUGAUGCAGAUGCUGCGGGACCGCGGGUACCUGGUGGUGGACGCCGACGUCGACAUGACCAUGGGCGAGUUCGUCGGGCGCUACGGCGACCCCGUGCGCCGCGACGACCUCGUCAUCAACCGCGCCAAGAAGGACAAGCCCGACGAACAGAUCUACGUCUUCUUCCCGAACGAGCCCAAGCCCGGCAUGAAGACGGUCAAGAGCUACGCCGAGAAGAUGAAGCAGGAGAACGUCAACAAUGGCAUACUCGUGGUGCAGCAGGCGCUGACCGCCUUUGCCCGGAACGCGGUGCUCGGGUUAUCGCAGGAGAAGGAGAAACUGAUGCUCGAGGUCUUCCAGGAAGGGGAGCUUCUUAUAAACAUUAAGAAUCACGAUCUGGUUCCUGAGCACGUGCUCCUCACAAAGGAGCAGAAGAAGACGCUGUUGGAGAAAUACACUGUGAAAGAAACUCAGCUCCCUCGGAUUCAAAUCACGGAUCCAAUAGCAAGAUACUAUGGCAUGAGGCGUGGACAGGUCGUGAAGAUCACCAGGCCCAGCGAGACUGCUGGAAAAUAUGUGACGUAUCGCUAUGUUGUCUGA